RNAcentral lists this long non-coding RNA (1266 nucleotides) under Triticum aestivum (bread wheat). RNAcentral's name for it is "long non-coding RNA (TAES_LNC001789)". The record is from RNAcentral. Lineage: Eukaryota; Viridiplantae; Streptophyta; Magnoliopsida; Poales; Poaceae.
UUUUAUUUUAGUUAACUUUUAAAAAAAUCCAAAUUAUAGUUUAUGGAAAUAAAAUUAGUUCAAUCGAAUUCAAAAAUAGUUCAUCAACAGUCAAAUUAUAAUGCACCAAAAUCCAUAUUCGGUUCUACAACAUUCAAAGUCCAGUUCACAGAAUUCAAAUUCGGUUCAUCAAAUCACAAUUUUAGUUCACUAGAUUCAUAUUCAGUUCACUUGAAUACUCAUCAUAAUCUCAAAGUCUAGUUCACUCAAAAAACCAUCUAAUUCAGUUCAUUAAAAUUAGUUCAUCUGGAUUCAAGUUUUUAGUUCACGCAAAUGUAACUCAGUUCAAGAAUUUUGCAAUGAAAACCAUGUGAGUUGUUUUUUUAUUUUAGCUACAUUUCUUAAAAAAUCCAAAUUAUAGUUCAUGGAAAAUAAAAGUUGUACAAUCGAAUUCAAAAAUAGUUCAUCAACAGUUAACUUAUAAUGAACCAAAAUCCAUAUUCGGUUCUACAACACUGAUAAUCUAGUUCACAAAGUUCAAAUUCGGUUCAUCAAAUCAUAAUUUUAGUUCACUAGACUCAUAUUUAGUUCACUUUACUACUCAUCAUAAUCUCAAAGUUUAGUUCACUGAAUUCAAAUUCAAUUAAUUAAAAUUAGUUCACCUGGAUUCAAGUUUUUAGUUCACGCAAAUCUAUCUCAGUUCAUGAAUUUUGCAAAGAAAACUACUUCAGUUGUUUUUUAUUUUUAGUUAAAUUUUUUAAAAUCAAAAUUAUAGUUCAUUGAAAACAAAAUUAGUUCAAUCAAAUCCAAAAAUAGUUCAUUAACAGUCAAAUUAUAAUCAACCAAAUCCACAUUCAAUUCUCCAACAUUCAAAGUCUAGUUCACCAAAUUCAAAUUCGGGUCCUCGAAUCACAAUUUUUGUUCACUAGAUUCAUAUUCAGUUCACUUGAAUACACAUCAUAAUUUCAAAAUUUAUUUCAAUGAAUUCAAAUUCUGUUCAUCAAAAUUAGUUCAUCUAUAUUCAAAUUUUUAGUUCACGCAAAUCUAAUUUAGUUCAUGAAUUCUGCAAUGAAAACCAGGUCAGUUGUUUUUUAUUUUAGUUAACUUUUUUAAAAAUCAAAAUUAUACAUUCAUAAUCAACUUCACCAAGUUCAAAUUCGGUUCAUCAAAUCAUAAUUUUAGUUCACUAGAUCCACAUUCAGUUCACUUCAAUACUCAUCGUAAUAUCAAAGUUAAGUUAGCUGAAUUCAAAUUCAGUUCAUUAAAAAUAGUUCAGCUUGAUUCAAG